UGAAAAAAGAGCAUGGUGUAAUGCCCGUGGCUGUAUUAGAUUGCUAACCCUAUACUUGAAAAAUGACAGCUCAAAUCUGAUUGGUAGUUAUGGGCAGGGCUCCAAAAAUAAAUUUUGGUCAUUGUGACCUGUUCUUACAGAUGUUUUUUUU
Molecule: long non-coding RNA, 151 nt
Organism: Nanorana parkeri
Lineage: Eukaryota; Metazoa; Chordata; Amphibia; Anura; Dicroglossidae
Exons: 3
Source: RefSeq, a predicted model, not a curated record